This 970-nucleotide long non-coding RNA is filed under the name Mus musculus (house mouse). RNAcentral's name for it is "long non-coding RNA chrX:44862879-44863849". The record is from RNAcentral. Lineage: Eukaryota; Metazoa; Chordata; Mammalia; Rodentia; Muridae.
AUGGUGUCAGUAAUUAACACUGUGGACACCUCUCAUAGGAACCUGAUCCAUGAUGCACAGAUGGACUUAUUAUGGCACCUGCCUAUCAACCUGUUCCUCAGAUAGGUCCGUCAAAAUUUUUGAUGUGUGAAAGGGAGGGCAGAUCCUCAUGGAAGACCUCAAAGGACAUGAGGGACCAGUGUGGCAAGUUGCCUGGGCCCAUCCCAUGUAUGGCAAUAUCUUGGCCUCCUGUUCCUUUGACUGGCAAGUCAUUAUCUGGAAGAAGAAGAAGAAAAAAAAAAACGGCACUUGGGAGAAGACCUAUGAACUCUCAGGACAUGACUCCUCAGUGGACUCUGUUUGCUGGGCCCCUCAUUACAGUGACCUGAUCCUGGCCUGUGGGAGUUCACAUGGGGCCACCUCACUGCUGACCUAUACAGGGGAAGGCCAGUGGGAAGUGAAGAAGAUUAACAAGGCUCACAUAAUUAGUUGUAAUGCUGUCAGUUGGGCACUGGCUUUAGGCCUGGAAGUCUUAUAGACCAACCAUUAGGAUGGAAACCCAAUUGCAUUGAGAAGUUUGCAUCAGGUGGCUGUGACAGCCUCAUCAACAUAUGGAAGGAAGAGGAAAAUGGUCAGCUGAAAGAUGUUCGAAGGUUAGAAGCACAAAGCGACUCCGUUCAAGGCAUUGCUUGGACCCCCUCCAUUGGCUUGCCCACCAGCACCAUUACGAGCUGCUCUUAGGAUGGCCAAGUGUUUAUUUUGACCUGCCAUGAUGCCUCGGGCAGUAUGUGGUCACCCAAACUUCUAUACAAGUUCAAUGACGUUGUGCGGCACGUGAACUGGUCCACCACAGCGAACCUCCUAUGUCAAGUAGAGAGAAUAAGGUUACCUUGUGGAAAGAGUUGGUGGGUGGACAGUAGGUGAGCAUCAGUGAUGUCAACAAGAGCCAGGGUUGUGUGUUAGCCUCCAUCACAGAGGGCCAAGAGAAUGA